Molecule: non-coding RNA, 154 nt
Filed under: Clostridium sp.
Lineage: Bacteria; Bacillati; Bacillota; Clostridia; Eubacteriales; Clostridiaceae
Description: GlcN6P sequence
Rfam family: glmS glucosamine-6-phosphate activated ribozyme aptamer
About the family: This entry contains a glucosamine-6-phosphate activated ribozyme that is found in the mRNA for GlmS. GlmS is an enzyme that uses fructose-6-phosphate and glutamine to generate glucosamine-6-phosphate.
Source: RNAcentral
UAACAUUAAAUAGCGCAUGAACAUACCUUUCGUAUGUGACGAGGAUGAUAGUUAUCGAACAUUCAGCGGAUACUAUCACGGUGAUUUAGCAUCGAUAUAUAUAGUACAAAAAGUAAAAUCUUUAAUUACUACAAAAACUAUAUAAUCUAAAUAU